GUGGGGAAUCUUCCGCAAUGGACGAAAGUCUGACGGAGCAAUGCCGCGUGAGUGAUGAAGGUCUUCGGAUUGUAAAGCUCUGUUAAUCGGGACGAAAGAGCCUAGUGUGAAUAAUGCUAGGAAGUGACGGUACCGGAAUAGAAAGCCACGGCUAACUACGUGCCAGCAGCCGCGGUAAUACGUAGGUGGCAAGCGUUGUCCGGAAUUAUUGGGCGUAAAGCGCGCGCAGGCGGAUCUGCCAGUCUGUCUUAAAAGUUCGGGGCUUAACCCCGUGAUGGGAUGGAAACUACAGAUCUAGAGUAUCGGAGAGGAAAGUGGAAUUCCUAGUGUAGCGGUGAAAUGCGUAGAUAUUAGGAAGAACACCAGUGGCGAAGGCGACUUUCUGGACGAAAACUGACGCUGAGGCGCGAAAGCCAGGGGAGCGAACGGGAUUAGAAACCCCGGUAGUCC
RNAcentral lists this ribosomal RNA (450 nucleotides) under uncultured bacterium. RNAcentral describes it as "partial 16S ribosomal RNA". It matches the Rfam family "Bacterial small subunit ribosomal RNA", at positions 354 to 796 of the family's 1533-position model. The record is from RNAcentral.